UUGUGCUUGAUCUAACCAUGUGCUGCCCCAAACAACAUGGUUUGUUCAUGCACCAGG
RNAcentral lists this microRNA precursor (57 nucleotides) under Petromyzon marinus (sea lamprey). RNAcentral's name for it is "Pma-Mir-218-o1_pre stem-loop". Lineage: Eukaryota; Metazoa; Chordata; Hyperoartia; Petromyzontiformes; Petromyzontidae. The record is from RNAcentral.